RNAcentral lists this small nuclear RNA (161 nucleotides) under Catagonus wagneri (Chacoan peccary). RNAcentral's name for it is "U1 spliceosomal RNA (ENSCWAG00000017724.1)". It matches the Rfam family "U1 spliceosomal RNA". Rfam says of the family: U1 is a small nuclear RNA (snRNA) component of the spliceosome (involved in pre-mRNA splicing). Its 5' end forms complementary base pairs with the 5' splice junction, thus defining the 5' donor site of an intron. There are significant differences in sequence and secondary structure between metazoan and yeast U1 snRNAs, the latter being much longer (568 nucleotides as compared to 164 nucleotides in human). The record is from Rfam by way of RNAcentral. Lineage: Eukaryota; Metazoa; Chordata; Mammalia; Artiodactyla; Tayassuidae.
ACACUUACCGGAGGAGAUGCUGUGAUCAUGAACCUGGUUUUCCCAGGGCGAAGCUCACCCACCGCACUUCGAAUGGUGCCGAUCCCUGCGAUUUCCCCAAAUGUGGGAAACUCAUCUGCGUGAUUUGUGAUAGUGGGUUCGUGCAUUCGCUCUUUCCCCUG